GUCGUUGAGAGCCGCCUUAGCAACAGCUUGUGAGCUGUGAAGACUUGGGUUGGGCGGGGCUGUGGGAGGUGACGCCGGGAGGUCACGGCUGAGAGUGCCGGCUGGGGACAUGAUUGCAAUGUGGGCCUUAGGAUUUGAACCAAAGGUUGAAGAAAUUUUAAAAAUGAUAGCUGAAAUUGAUAAGGAAGGAAUUGGCACCAUUAGUUUUGAAGAUUUUUUUUGCCAUUGAAAUGCUUGAUGAAGCUGAUCAUGAUGGAGAUGGAAAAAUAAAUGAGGAAGUAUUUUUGAAAGUGAUGAAAAAGACUACUUUAUUAAUGGUGUUGUUUUGGUCCUUGUGGAAAAUUAACAAAUUUGUAUUUGUUAUACAGUUUUGUACUUUAAUAUCUGAAUGUAUUCAUUUUAAGUUUUUAGUUUAUAUGUACACAUUGGCUUCUUGAUGUCUAAUCCAUGUAAGAAGUUACACAUCUCUACCAGUAUGUUGUUAAAUCUACAGCAUCAAGAAACAAAACAUAAUGACUUCUUUGAACCAUUAAUCCAAGAACAGUAUUAAUUCUACCCGCUCUUUUGAGAACCCUAGGUCACAAGGAGUUAGAAUUUUUAAGUUUGAUGAAGUUGGUUUCACAUCCAAAUAAAUUUGGCAAACAAA
Molecule: long non-coding RNA, 646 nt
Organism: Rhinopithecus roxellana (golden snub-nosed monkey)
Lineage: Eukaryota; Metazoa; Chordata; Mammalia; Primates; Cercopithecidae
Exons: 3
Source: RefSeq, a predicted model, not a curated record